UGCUUCAGACCGUUGUCGUGGGCACUGAGUGAGCGAGCGAGGUAGGCAUGCAUGAUAGCUUUUUCCCAUCCCAUUGUAAAUUCUGUUCUAUUUUAUUUCAGGUCCAGUUGAAUGCUGUGUCCAAUUUUAUAACAAGGUCAUUCCUGCCGACAAGAUUAAAGCCUAUCAGCUCACCCCUAGCUGCCCAACACCGGCGGUGAUCUUCACCACUGUGACGGACAAGAAGAUAUGUGUCAACCCGGAGGACAAGAGGGUGCAGGACAUCAUGGAGAAGUUGGACAACCUGUGGGUCCCCGGGGUCUGACACCCUGGCUCCAGCUCGCUCAGAAGAUGCCUCCAAGACAUAUGCCGUGUGGGACAGGGAACAGGCCAAGUAAACUGUGACUUUUGAUUGCAUUAACACUGUAGUUUUAGUGUGCAUUUCUUUUUUCUGAGAUGUGCUGUAUCUGUGUAGACUGUGCUGUGUCAAGAAUCAGCAUAGUUGAUCAAAUCAGCGUGCAAUUCCGAAGCUUUCACAGGAAAAGAAUGCAGUGUUGAUGCAACACUUAAAGACCAUUUUUACCGUUUUUUUUUUGUUUACCCACUUUUGUAGCGUGAUGUAAAAGUUCUUGUAAAAGUCAUAAGUAACUGCGCACUAGAAAUAACCAACAAAAAUGUAGGCUACUUUAUUGUUUAAGAAAUGGCAUUGUUUUGAUCAUUUAGUCUAGUGGGAUCUUCCUCUUCAAUAAAGAUUGCAUGCAGCAUA
Long non-coding RNA from Engraulis encrasicolus (European anchovy), 745 nucleotides. RefSeq lists it as uncharacterized. Lineage: Eukaryota; Metazoa; Chordata; Actinopteri; Clupeiformes; Engraulidae. The transcript is spliced from 2 exons. The record is from RefSeq and is a predicted model, not a curated record.